UACGUAGGGUGCAAGCGUUAAUCGGAAUUACUGGGCGUAAAGCGUGCGCAGGCGGUUGUGCAAGACAGAUGUGAAAUCCCCGGGCUCAACCUGGGAAUUGCAUUUGUGACUGCACGGCUAGAGUGUGUCAGAGGGGGGUAGAAUUCCACGUGUAGCAGUGAAAUGCGUAGAGAUGUGGAGGAAUACCGAUGGCGAAGGCAGCCCCCUGGACCGACACUGACGCUGAGGAGCGAAAGCCAGGGGAGCAAACGGG
This 253-nucleotide ribosomal RNA is filed under the name uncultured bacterium. Its description in RNAcentral is "partial 16S ribosomal RNA". It matches the Rfam family "Bacterial small subunit ribosomal RNA", at positions 524 to 776 of the family's 1533-position model. The record is from RNAcentral.